This 455-nucleotide ribosomal RNA is filed under the name uncultured Bacillota bacterium. RNAcentral's name for it is "bacterial SSU rRNA". It matches the Rfam family "Bacterial small subunit ribosomal RNA", at positions 463 to 916 of the family's 1533-position model. The record is from RNAcentral. Lineage: Bacteria; Bacillati; Bacillota.
GAAGAAGUGACGGUACUUGAUGAAUAAGCUCCGGCUAACUACGUGCCAGCAGCCGCGGUAAUACGUAGGGAGCAAGCGUUAUCCGGAUUUACUGGGUGUAAAGGGCGAGUAGGCGGAUUGGCAAGUUGGGAGUGAAAUGUCGGGGCUUAACCCCGGAACUGCUUCCAAAACUGUUGAUCUUGAGUGAUGGAGAGGCAGGCGGAAUUCCCAGUGUAGCGGUGAAAUGCGUAGAUAUUGGGAGGAACACCAGUGGCGAAGGCGGCCUGCUGGACAUUAACUGACGCUGAGGAGCGAAAGCGUGGGGAGCAAACAGGAUUAGAUACCCUGGUAGUCCACGCCGUAAACGAUGGACACUAGGUGUGGGAGGUAUUGACCCCUUCCGUGCCGCAGUUAACACAUUAAGUAUCCCACCUGGGGAGUACGACCGCAAGGUUGAAACUCAAAGGAAUUGACGG